RNAcentral lists this long non-coding RNA (1255 nucleotides) under Paramuricea clavata. Lineage: Eukaryota; Metazoa; Cnidaria; Anthozoa; Malacalcyonacea; Plexauridae. The record is from RNAcentral.
AGUGUAUUGCUAUGCAUAUUGAAACGACCAAACUUGGUUUCUACAUUUCUCUGUUUGAAAAUAACAAUCCAUCAGAUAAACCAACGGACGCGGAAGUUGCAAUAACCAAAUUAUCGGGAGAGGUAAGCAAAUAUAUCCAGUUUUGUUACAGAGCACUUUACUGUUGGCUGCCUAUUGUAGAUUGUAACAUUUGCAUGCAGUAGACAAGGAGAACAAGAUUAUUGAUAUGUACUGGUAUAUAAAUUAAAUUUCAUGUUCUAAUAUAUAACAGAAGCACAGAUGCGGGAACGUCGCCUCUNNNNNNNNNNNNNNNNNNNNAAGAUUUGUUUAAUCCUGAUGAAUUAACCGCAUUGGGUUCACACUGUUAAAAGAUAAGUGCCUCCACAAUGCAGGAAUUGCCGGUUCAGACCCUCUUUCUGGGGAGCAUCCUCUAGGAUUCUGACGUCACAAACUUGUUCGCUUGUCCUUGUAUCUCUAGUGUAAAAAAGAUAAACCUGCUCCUAUUAGAAAUUAAAUUGUUACAGUUUCUGGGAAGAAUGUCCACAUGCAUACGUAGAAGCAGCUUAUGUUACUUGCCUCCUACCAUGUUGGACACAUUUUUCCCACUUGCAGGAAAGAUUUCCUGCAAGUGGCAAAAAGAACUGAUCAUUUCGGGGAAUUAAACCCACAGGUGCUAGGUUUAUUUACAAUAAGACUUCGGCAGAAGUUCGGCUUCGGCUGAUAACAAACUUCGGCCUUGAUAAUUUUUUAUAUAAUGUUGAAAUGUUCAACCUGUUUGAAUAAUUGUUAAAUAUCACUUCUACUUUGGUUUUCUUACGAAUUAUUUAGCUAAUUUUCCAAGUUCUGGCAAGACAAACACGUUACGAUCUCACUGUGAAAUUUAUUGGUGAUCCUGAGUUAAACGUUUCUUCCAGAGACAUUUUAGAGGUAGUUGUACACUUUGAUAUUUCUUGGGAGCUGUAUCGAAAAGAUUCCAAUUCCUUUAAAAUCUGUACAGUCCUUCAAUAUCGCUAAAAUGCUUGAAAAAUCCUAUAAAACGCUUUAAAAAUUCUUUGGGAUUUUAAAAUUCCCAAAAUCUUAGCUCGUUAGUUCCCUUUUGUGAGUGAUAUACUGCAUGUACACCCAUAGUAUAUUUGUAUUUGUGUAUGUAUGAUAGUAGCAAAGUAGUAAAAAUUGAAAAUAUUGAUGCUGCAUUUUUCAGCUCAUUUGUAUGUAAGAGAUUAGACGUAUAAACAUGCAGCAAAUAACAUAACGG